GCUCGCUUUGUCAGCACAUACUAAAACUGGAAUGAUACAGAGAAGAUUAGCAUGGCCACUGCACAAAAAUGACAUGCGAAUUUGUGAAGUGUUCCAUAUUUCU
This is a small nuclear RNA of Cynocephalus volans (Philippine flying lemur), 103 nucleotides long. The record is from RefSeq and is a predicted model, not a curated record. Lineage: Eukaryota; Metazoa; Chordata; Mammalia; Dermoptera; Cynocephalidae.